Molecule: ribosomal RNA, 429 nt
Filed under: Chloroflexota bacterium
Lineage: Bacteria; Bacillati; Chloroflexota
Description: Chloroflexi bacterium partial 16S ribosomal RNA
Rfam family: Bacterial small subunit ribosomal RNA
Source: RNAcentral
UGGGGAAUAUUGCACAAUGGGCGCAAGCCUGAUGCAGCCAUGCCGCGUGUAUGAAGAAGGCCUUCGGGUUGUAAAGUACUUUCAGCGGGGAGGAAGGGAGUAAAGUUAAUACCUUUGCUCAUUGACGUUACCCGCAGAAGAAGCACCGGCUAACCCCGUGCCAGCAGCCGCGGUAAUACGGAGGGUGCAAGCGUUAAUCGGAAUUACUGGGCGUAAAGCGCACGCAGGCGGUUUGUUAAGUCAGAUGUGAAAUCCCCGGGCUCAACCUGGGAACUGCAUCUGAUACUGGCAAGCUUGAGUCUCGGAGAGGGGGGUAGAAUUCCAGGUGUAGCGGUGAAAUGCGUAGAGAUCUGGAGGAAUACCGGUGGCGAAGGCGGCCCCCUGGACGAAGACUGACGCUCAGGUGCGAAAGCGUGGGGAGCAAACAGG